CCACGAUGCCACUUGCCACCAGUUUGCCCAUAUUUCAGAGCUGCAACAUCACUGGAGUGCCCAAAAGCACAAUGUGAGGACUAUUACUAUACUACUGCACAUCAGUGAGACUGUUUUUUUAUCUAUACUUUUAUCUAUUGGAUGCAUUGUUUAACACUCGGUCACUUUUAAUAGACAUAUGCACUUUGCUUAUUUGUAUUUAUCAGGCUAUACUUUGACUCUUUGCACUUGCACUUUGUUAUAUUUUGCGUAGGUUACGCACCCACUGUAUGUGUAUAAUGACACUAUUUGCUAUUUAU
Molecule: non-coding RNA, 299 nt
Organism: Pelobates cultripes (western spadefoot toad)
Lineage: Eukaryota; Metazoa; Chordata; Amphibia; Anura; Pelobatidae
Source: the annotation of a GenBank genome assembly